CAGUCGCCGCGGGAAUACGUAGGGUGCGAGCGUUAAUCGGAAUUACUGGGCGUAAAGCGUGCGCAGGCGGUUUUGUAAGACAGGCGUGAGAUCCCCGGGCUCAACCUGGGAAUGGCGCUUGUGACUGCAAAGCUAGAGUGCGGCAGAGGGGGAUGGAAUUCCGCGUGUAGCAGCGAAAUGCGUAGAUAUGCGGAGGAACACCGAUGGCGAAGGCAAUCCCCUGGGCCUGCACUGACGCUCAUGCACGAAAGCGUGGGGAGCAAACAGGAUUAGAUACCCCCGUAGUCCCUGUCUCUUAUAC
RNAcentral lists this ribosomal RNA (301 nucleotides) under uncultured bacterium. Its description in RNAcentral is "partial 16S ribosomal RNA". It matches the Rfam family "Bacterial small subunit ribosomal RNA", at positions 509 to 807 of the family's 1533-position model. The record is from RNAcentral.